RNAcentral lists this ribosomal RNA (432 nucleotides) under uncultured bacterium. RNAcentral describes it as "partial 16S ribosomal RNA". It matches the Rfam family "Bacterial small subunit ribosomal RNA", at positions 29 to 506 of the family's 1533-position model. The record is from RNAcentral.
AACGAACGCUGGCGGCAUGCCUAACACAUGCAAGUCGAACGAGACCUUCGGGUCUAGUGGCGCACGGGUGCGUAACGCGUGGGAACCUGCCCUUAAGUUCGGAAUAACUCCCCGAAAGGGGUGCUAAUACCGGAUAAUGUCUUCGGACCAAAGAUUUAUCGCCUUUGGAUGGGCCCGCGUUGGAUUAGCUAGUUGGUAGGGUAAAAGCCUACCAAGGCGACGAUCCAUAGCUGGUCUGAGAGGAUGAUCAGCCACACUGGGACUGAGACACGGCCCAGACUCCUCCGGGAGGCAGCAGUGGGGAAUAUUGGACAAUGGGCGAAAGCCUGAUCCAGCAAUGCCGGGUGAGUGAUGAAGGCCUUAGGGUUGUAAAGCUCUUUUACCCGGGAUGAUAAUGACAGUACCGGGAGAAUAAGCUCCGGCUAACUCCGU